RNAcentral lists this ribosomal RNA (707 nucleotides) under Escherichia coli. RNAcentral describes it as "partial 23S ribosomal RNA". It matches the Rfam family "Bacterial large subunit ribosomal RNA", at positions 2236 to 2925 of the family's 2925-position model. The record is from RNAcentral. Lineage: Bacteria; Pseudomonadati; Pseudomonadota; Gammaproteobacteria; Enterobacterales; Enterobacteriaceae.
UAAUCCGGGUUGCGGACAGUGUCUGGUGGGUAGUUUGACUGGGGCGGUCUCCUCCUAAAGAGUAACGGAGGAGCACGAAGGUUGGCUAAUCCUGGUCGGACAUCAGGAGGUUAGUGCAAUGGCAUAAGCCAGCUUGACUGCGAGCGUGACGGCGCGAGCAGGUGCGAAAGCAGGUCAUAGUGAUCCGGUGGUUCUGAAUGGAAGGGCCAUCGCUCAACGGAUAAAAGGUACUCCGGGGAUAACAGGCUGAUACCGCCCAAGAGUUCAUAUCGACGGCGGUGUUUGGCACCUCGAUGUCGGCUCAUCACAUCCUGGGGCUGAAGUAGGUCCCAAGGGUAUGGCUGUUCGCCAUUUAAAGUGGUACGCGAGCUGGGUUUAGAACGUCGUGAGACAGUUCGGUCCCUAUCUGCCGUGGGCGCUGGAGAACUGAGGGGGGCUGCUCCUAGUACGAGAGGACCGGAGUGGACGCAUCACUGGUGUUCGGGUUGUCAUGCCAAUGGCACUGCCCGGUAGCUAAAUGCGGAAGAGAUAAGUGCUGAAAGCAUCUAAGCACGAAACUUGCCCCGAGAUGAGUUCUCCCUGACUCCUUGAGAGUCCUGAAGGAACGUUGAAGACGACGACGUUGAUAGGCCGGGUGUGUAAGCGCAGCGAUGCGUUGAGCUAACCGGUACUAAUGAACCGUGAGGCUUAACCUUACAACGCCGAAG